RNAcentral lists this ribosomal RNA (322 nucleotides) under uncultured eukaryote. RNAcentral describes it as "partial 18S ribosomal RNA". It matches the Rfam family "Eukaryotic small subunit ribosomal RNA", at positions 1470 to 1796 of the family's 1831-position model. The record is from RNAcentral.
CCCUUAGAUGUUCUGGGCCGCACGCGUGCUACACUGAGUGGAUCAGCGGGUCAGGUUGCGCGAAAGCGUUUCCUAAUCUUUAAAUCCGCUCGUGAUGGGGAUUGACGGUUGCAAUUUUCUGUCAUGAACGAGGAAUACCUUGUAAGCGCGGGUCAUCAUCCCGCUCUGAAUACGUCCCUGCCCUUUGUACACACCGCCCGUCGCUCCUACCGAUUGAGUGGUCCGGUGAGGCUUUGGGAUCUGAGCGGAAAGAGCGUUUCGCUGUUUCUGCUCGGAAAACUCAGUCGAACCUUAUCAUUUAGAGGAAGGAGAAGUCGUAACA